UACGGAGGGUGCAAGCGUUAUCCGGAUUCACUGGGUUUAAAGGGUGCGUAGGUGGAAUGGUAAGUCAGUGGUGAAAUCUCCAAGCUUAACUUGGAAACUGCCGUUGAUACUAUCAUUCUUGAAUAUCGUGGAGGUGAGCGGAAUAUGUCAUGUAGCGGUGAAAUGCUUAGAUAUGACAUAGAACACCGAUUGCGAAGGCAGCUCACUACGCGGUCAUUGACACUGAGGCACGAAAGCGUGGGGAUCAAACAGG
RNAcentral lists this ribosomal RNA (253 nucleotides) under uncultured bacterium. RNAcentral's name for it is "partial 16S ribosomal RNA". It matches the Rfam family "Bacterial small subunit ribosomal RNA", at positions 524 to 776 of the family's 1533-position model. The record is from RNAcentral.